GACGAACGCUGGCGGCGUGCCUAACACAUGCAAGUCGAACGGAAAGUCUCUACCGUUGUGGGGUGCACGAGUGGCGAACGGUUGCGUAACACGGGAGUACCCGGCCCUAGACUGCGGGAUAACUUCAGGAAACUGGUGCUAACACCGGAUAAGACCGCCUGCUGUUAGUUGUGGGUUGGAAAGUUGCGGCGGGUGGGGAUGGAACCGCGGCCUAAUAGCCUGUCGGUGGGGUAGUGGCUUACCAAGGCAUUGACGAGUCGCCGGCCUGAGAGGGUGACCGGCCCCAGAGGGACUCGGGAGGCAGCAGGAGUGAUACGGGGGGAAGGGGUGAGGGUUUUAGCACGAUGGGCGGAGGCCGGAUGGAGGGACGCCGCGUGGGGGAUGACGGCCGUCGGGUUGGAAAGCGCGUGCGCGUGGAACGAAGAGUGAGUGACGGUAAUGGGCAAGAAAGCACCGGCUAACUACGUG
RNAcentral lists this ribosomal RNA (468 nucleotides) under uncultured bacterium. Its description in RNAcentral is "partial 16S ribosomal RNA". It matches the Rfam family "Bacterial small subunit ribosomal RNA", at positions 28 to 507 of the family's 1533-position model. The record is from RNAcentral.